CCUACGGGAGGCAGCAGUAAGGAAUAUUGGACAAUGGACGCAAGUCUGAUCCAGCCAUGCCGCGUGAAGGAUUAAGGCCCUCUGGGUUGUAAACUUCUUUUAUAGGGGACGAAAAAAGGGCUUUCUAGCUCGACUGACGGUACCCUAUGAAUAAGCACCGGCUAACUCCGUGCCAGCAGCCGCGGUAAUACGGAGGGUGCAAGCGUUAUCCGGAUUCACUGGGUUUAAAGGGUGCGUAGGCGGGCAUUUAAGUCAGUGGUGAAGUCUUCGAGCUCAACUCGGAAACUGCCAUUGAUACUAUUUGUCUUGAAUAUUGUGGAGGUGAGCGGAAUAUGUCAUGUAGCGGUGAAAUGCUUAGAUAUGACAUAGAACACCGAUUGCGAAGGCAGCUCGCUACACAAAUAUUGACGCUGAGGCACGAAAGCGUGGGGAUCAAACAGGAUUAGAUACCCUGGUAGUCCACGCCCUAAACCUAUGGAUACUCGACAUUUGCGAAUACACAGUAAGUAGUCUGAGCGAAGACAUUAAGUAUCCACCGUACGGAAGUACGACCGCGAGUAGUAACGUACAAUAGAAGUUAGUACGGCGUAGAGACGUUAGCCGACGGACGACGACGAGGGGAGGUAGG
RNAcentral lists this ribosomal RNA (628 nucleotides) under uncultured bacterium. RNAcentral describes it as "bacterial SSU rRNA". The stretch from base 1 to 537 matches the Rfam family "Bacterial small subunit ribosomal RNA", at positions 338 to 873 of the family's 1533-position model. The record is from RNAcentral.